Molecule: long non-coding RNA, 196 nt
Organism: Gossypium arboreum
Lineage: Eukaryota; Viridiplantae; Streptophyta; Magnoliopsida; Malvales; Malvaceae
Exons: 2
Source: RefSeq, a predicted model, not a curated record
AUUAAUAUUUGGUAUAGAUAUAGAUAAAGUUUUUAUAUUUGCUUAAACUGAAAUAUAUUUGGUGCUACUCUUAUAAUCUUACAUCUGUUCUAGGUACUAUCGAGCACCUGAAAUAAUAUUUGGUGCAACUAAAUACACCACAGCCAUUGACAUUUGUUCUAGCCUCUGUUUGCUGGUGAGAGUGGAGUAGACCAGG